Molecule: long non-coding RNA, 1222 nt
Filed under: Struthio camelus australis
Lineage: Eukaryota; Metazoa; Chordata; Aves; Struthioniformes; Struthionidae
Description: lncRNA (ENSSCUG00000002762.1)
Source: RNAcentral
CGCAGCGGUAGGCGGCAUCUCGUGCCGCCGGCUGGCUUGCCGUUCCUCCUCUAAGCAACUUGGCAUGACCAUCAGCUUCCCCGCAUCCAGCAGCAGGCCAGGCCAGAGGCUUUAUUAACAUAGAAUAACAGUACCUCGCCACAGGCCAGCCAGCAUGGGUGCUGCUUCGAGUCGAAUUUGACUGCAAUGUUAAGCUGGCUAAAAAAUAACAACUGCCUUCUGUGAAGAUACAAGAAUAUCCAUGAUGAGCGUCAAUGGACCGCUGCAAGUUUGAGGACUGCUUGCCUAUUAACAUGUGGCCAAAAACACCUGAGCUCCAUGCCUUACUCCACAGCAGUUACCAGCCUUCAUGCAAUGUGCAGAAGUUUCAGCAGCAGAACCGCUAAAGAGAUACAGCCAAGAGACAUAUGGAAACUGUGAGUUUUCAUUCUUGUGGUUUUCAAUCUAUUUAUUUAUUUGGUUAACAGCCCCUCAUUAGUGCAGAAGGAUUGCUACAUUUCCUACCUUGCCAGGAGGGUCCACUUUCACUGCAGGAGGAUGUGCUCUCCAUAGAACGUGCUUUGGCAAGAAUGGUGCUGCUUACACUUGUUUUUUCUCUGUUAUUCAUACAGACUGUUAUGCACUUACUUAGCUGGGAUAACGGGCAAACAUUCUGCCUUUGGGAGCCACCUUCCAAAAUCAUGUGGCAGGAUACCACACCCUCCAGCCCUACUCCAUGCAGCUCUCCAAGCCAAGACUAUAAACCCACAGCUCCUUCCCCCUCGGCUCCCAACUACUUUCAUCUUGCUUCCUAAGCAGAUCUUCUCCCCUGUCCAUCAUUCAGCUUAUAUCCAGAUUCAGGAUCCCCAUCUCCCAGAUAACUGCAGUCUGACAUCACAGCCAGGACCACCACAGCCUCUGUUCCGUACUCUGAUCUCACAUGAACUCUCAUCAAAUCUUUGUGAUCAGUCCAGCUGGUACAGAGGAUCCCCAGCUACUGUUUGGCUGUUCUUCCUUAGCUCCAUUGGAACAGGACAGCAGUCUUUCCAUGGGAUAAAGAGCUGAAAAGGUUGCAGUCAUGUCCAACCCACUGUAGCUGUGGUAGGUUAUCAGAAGAGGGAACAGGUUCUUAUGAGGAAGAGGACCACAUGACAGCAGUGGGGCUGAAGUACUGGCCUUCCCAAUACUAGCUGCUGUGAUUCUUGUCUGUUUAAUAAAGAUGAUCCAAGCACAGUCUAGUUCA